AAUAUGUCUGCACAAUUUCAUGGACGGUUGCUUAAUAUUCAAAUGAGAUUGGAACUACGAUUGUAUGAAACGAGUGACGGAUAGAGCCCUGUUAAGCUGUAGGUAGUACAUAUAAGUUAUGAAAGCUAGGUGCAAGUUCCAAUCCAUUUCCAUGUAAAAAAAGUCCGCAAUGACGAUAAUUUGUGCUAUUACACAAUUUUUGUUUUGUCAAACGACGUACCUUUUACGCGAUUUUAAUUGAUGUGGACGCGAUUUUAGCUUGAUAUUUAUAGAGCGCACUUUCUUUUUACUUAGACUAAGUUUCAGUUAAAACGAGACAGAUUUAUGCCAGCGGUAUAACGCUGUCUCGUUUUAACAGUGUCUUAAGUCUGAGCAAAGUCAAAGUGCGCUCUACAGAUCUAAACCUUAAGAGUGCGGCCCAGCAAAUGCGUCGCGUUGAACAAUAAAAAAAAGAUGUACCGAAUUCGCCUUACAGGUUGGAAAUGACAUACAAGUAUUAUGUGCGCAGGGAAUAAUUUUCUCAAUGUAGUUACCUACCUAUGGGUUUUAAAAAGUUAAAACUGGCAUUGGCACAAGAUCACCGGGCAUUAAGUACUUAAUUAAAAAGGAGUGGAAAAAACGAGCCUACCACUCUGCCAAAUGUAAGUAUACGACCGGCAAUCAUUUCGUUAUAUAAAAUGACGCGAUGUCGUUUACUGAUAGCACGUCUCCGUGUGUUGUGUGUAUGCGUCAAAGUGACAGACUUCAUUGCAAAGAAAUUAGUGCAAAUCUCAACUUCUGUUGAUUGAGUAGGUACUUAAUGUCGCCGGGU
This is a long non-coding RNA of Maniola jurtina (meadow brown), 811 nucleotides long. RefSeq lists it as uncharacterized. The record is from RefSeq and is a predicted model, not a curated record. NCBI's taxonomy places the organism in Eukaryota, Metazoa, Arthropoda, Insecta, Lepidoptera, Nymphalidae. The transcript is spliced from 2 exons.